AUAGGGCGUUUAGUCAGGGGAGUAGACGCGAAACCUUGUGAUCUACCCAUGGCCAGGUUGAAGGUGUGGUAACACACACUGGAGGACCGAACGAGUUUACGUUGAAAAGUAUUUCGAUGAGCUGUGGGUAGGGGUGAAAGGCUAAUCAAACUGGGAAAUAGCUCGUACUCCCCGAAAUGUUUUUAGGAACAGCGUCGUGGUUGAGUUUCAUGCAGGUAAAGCUACCAAUAGGACUAGGGGGAGUCACAUCCUACCAAAUCCUGAUGAACUCUGAAUGGCAUGAAAUAUACACGGCAGUGAGGGCAGGGGUGCUAAGGUCACUGUCCGAGAGGGAAAGAACCCAGACCAACAGCUAAGGUCCCCAAAUCUAUACUAAGUUGAACAAAGGAGGUCUGAUUGCAGAGACAGCCAGGAUGUUAGCUUGGAAGCAGCUAUUCAUUUAAAGAGUGCGUAACAGCUCACUGGUCGAGCGAGGCGGGCAUCGAUAAUAAACGGGCAUCAAGUAUAGUACCGAAGCUUUGGAUUAUGUAUUAUGUACAUACUGGUAGGGGAGCAUUCUGACAUCAAUGAAGGUAAAUCGACAAGGUUUAUUGGAGAGGUCAGAAAAGCAAAUGUAGGGAUGAGUAACGAUAAUGCGGGCGAGAAACCCGCACGCCGAAAAGUCAAGGUUUCCUCAGCUAUGCUAAUCAACUGAGGGUUAGUCGGGGGCUAAGGGUUUAGCGACAGCGAAGACUUAAUGCACAUCAGGUUAAUAUUCCUGAACUUACUAUUAGGGAAACACAAUGACGGAGAUUCGUGGUUUGCAGGUACUGACGGAAUAGUGCCUUUGAGAAGAAGCCGCAAGGCAGAAACGAGUGAGCGAAGAGACUUCCAAGAAAAGUUGUGAAUCUAUACUUAAUAGUAACCCGUACCGUAAACCGACACAGGUGACUGGGAAGAAUAUUCUAAGGCGCUCGAGUGAAUCACGGCUAAGGAACUCGGCAAAUUAACCCUGUAACUUCGGGAUAAAGGGAGCCUACUCAGCGAUGAGAGGCCGCAGAGAAUUGGUCCAGGCGACUGUUUAACAAAAACACAUGGCUUUGCAAAAACGAAGUUGACGUAUAAGGCCUGACACCUGCCCGGUGCUGGAAGGUUAAGAGGGGAUGUCAUACGCAAGCGACGCAUUGAAUCGAAGCCCCAGUAAACGGCGGCCGUAACAAUAACGGUCCUAAGGUAGCGAAAUUCCUUGUCGGGUAAGUUCCGACCUGCACGAAUGGUGUAACGAUCUGGGCGCUGUCUCAGCCAUGAGCUCGGUGAAAUUGUGGUCCCGGUGAAGACGCCGGGUACCCGCAACGGGACGGAAAGACCCCAUGCACCUUCACUACAAUUUAACAUUGACAUUGGUACAGGAUGUGUAGGAUAGGUGGGAGGCUUUGAAGCGGCGUCGCUAGGCGUCGUGGAGCCAACGUUGAAAUACCACCCUUUCUGUAUUCGGUGUCUAAUCCCGCCUUUGCGGAGACAUUGUUUGAUGGGUAGUUUGACUGGGGUGGUCGCCUCCAAAAAGGUACGGAG
Molecule: ribosomal RNA, 1551 nt
Filed under: Rhizoctonia solani
Lineage: Eukaryota; Fungi; Basidiomycota; Agaricomycetes; Cantharellales; Ceratobasidiaceae
Description: bacterial LSU rRNA
Rfam family: Bacterial large subunit ribosomal RNA
Source: RNAcentral